CCUACGGGUGGCUGCAGUGAGGAAUAUUGGUCAAUGGACGAGAGUCUGAACCAGCCAAGUAGCGUGAAGGAUGACUGCCCUAUGGGUUGUAAACUUCUUUUAUAUGGGAAUAAACUGUUCCACGUGUGGGAUUUUGUAUGUACCAUAUGAAUAAGGAUCGGCUAACUCCGUGCCAGCAGCCGCGGUAAUACGGAGGAUCCGAGCGUUAUCCGGAUUUAUUGGGUUUAAAGGGAGCGUAGGCGGAUUCUUAAGUCAGUUGUGAAAGUUUGCGGCUCAACCGUAAAAUUGCAGUUGAAACUGGCAGUCUUGAGUACAGUAGAGGUGGGCGGAAUUCGUGGUGUAGCGGUGAAAUGCUUAGAUAUCACGAAGAACUCCGAUUGCGAAGGCAGUUCACUGGACUGCAACUGACACUGAGGCUCGAAAGUGUGGGUAUCAAACAGGAUUAGAUACCCGAGUAGUC
Molecule: ribosomal RNA, 460 nt
Filed under: uncultured bacterium
Lineage: Bacteria
Description: partial 16S ribosomal RNA
Rfam family: Bacterial small subunit ribosomal RNA
Source: RNAcentral